RNAcentral lists this unclassified non-coding RNA (200 nucleotides) under Preussia sp. (in: ascomycete fungi). RNAcentral's name for it is "Preussia sp. (in: Fungi) partial internal transcribed spacer 2". Lineage: Eukaryota; Fungi; Ascomycota; Dothideomycetes; Pleosporales; Sporormiaceae. The record is from RNAcentral.
UUAAGUUCAGCGGGUAUCCCUACCUGAUCCGAGGUCAAAAUGGUGAGAGUUGGCUUCUGGGAGCCGCUCCGCCGGGCCACGAGUUCGCGUUUCUGCUGCGCUCGGAGCCGACGUGAGGGCCGCCAAUGGAUUUGAGGCGAGUCCGCGCGCGGGGCGGGACGAGACACCCAUCACCAAGCUGGGCUUGAGGGUUUAGAUGA